Molecule: ribosomal RNA, 376 nt
Filed under: Metaphire sieboldi (earthworm)
Lineage: Eukaryota; Metazoa; Annelida; Clitellata; Crassiclitellata; Megascolecidae
Description: partial 16S ribosomal RNA
Rfam family: Bacterial large subunit ribosomal RNA
Source: RNAcentral
AACGGCCGCGGUAUCCUAACCGUGCAAAGGUAGCAUAAUCACUUGCCUAUUAAUUGUAGGCUAGAAUGAAUGGGUUAACGAAAUAAAGACUGUCUCAAUUAAUCACCUAAAAAUUACUAUCUACCUGAAGAAGAGUAGAUAAUCUCGAAGGACAAGAAGACCCUAUAGAGCUUAAUUUUAAUUAUAGGACUAUACUAUAAAAAUAUUCGGUUGGGGCGACCCAGGGCUAAUCAAUCACCCACCACAUAAAAGAUAAAUUAAUCAAGUAAUUGACCCCUAAAAGAUCAUAAGAACAAGCUACCUUAGGGAUAACAGGCUAAUCCCACUCAAGAGUCCUUAUCAACAGUGGGGUUUGGCACCUCGAUGUUGGCUUAGG